GGAGUUUGGGCCGUGUCUCAGUCCCAAUGUGGCCGGUCACCCUCUCAGGUCGGCUACGGAUCAUCACCUUGGUGGGCCGUUACCUCACCAACUAGUUAAUCCGACGCGGGCCCAUCCUCCACCGAUAAAUCUUUCCGCCCAGGACCAUGCGGUCCCGUGCGCAUAUGCGGUAUUAACAGUCGUUUCCAACUGUUAUCCCCCAGUGAAGGGCAGGUUACCCACGUGUUACUCACCCAUCCGCCGCUAAACCGAUAAGAUCAUCUAAUGAAUCUCUUAACGGUUCCGCUCGACUUGCAUGUGUUAGGCACGCCGCCAGCGUUCAUC
Molecule: ribosomal RNA, 324 nt
Filed under: uncultured Butyrivibrio sp.
Lineage: Bacteria; Bacillati; Bacillota; Clostridia; Lachnospirales; Lachnospiraceae
Description: partial 16S ribosomal RNA
Source: RNAcentral